This 484-nucleotide ribosomal RNA is filed under the name uncultured bacterium. RNAcentral's name for it is "partial 16S ribosomal RNA". It matches the Rfam family "Bacterial small subunit ribosomal RNA", at positions 30 to 507 of the family's 1533-position model. The record is from RNAcentral.
AUUGAACGCUGGCGGCAGGCCUAACACAUGCAAGUCGAGCGGAUGAAGGGAGCUUGCUCCUGGAUUCAGCGGCGGACGGGUGAGUAAUGCCUAGGAAUCUGCCUGGUAGUGGGGGAUAACGUCCGGAAACGGGCGCUAAUACCGCAUACGUCCUGAGGGAGAAAGUGGGGGAUCUUCGGACCUCACGCUAUCAGAUGAGCCUAGGUCGGAUUAGCUAGUUGGUGGGGUAAAGGCCUACCAAGGCGACGAUCCGUAACUGGUCUGAGAGGAUGAUCAGUCACACUGGAACUGGGACACCGUCCCGACCCCUACGGGAGGCAGCAGUGGGGAAUAUUGGACAAUGGGCGAAAGCCUGAUCCAGCCAUGCCGCGUGUGUGAAGAAGGUCUUCGGAUUGUAAAGCACUUUAAGUUGGGAGGAAGGGCAGUAAGUUAAUACCUUGCUGUUUUGACGUUACCAACAGAAUAAGCACCGGCUAACUUCGUG